This 1401-nucleotide ribosomal RNA is filed under the name Lactiplantibacillus pentosus. RNAcentral describes it as "Lactobacillus pentosus 16S ribosomal RNA". It matches the Rfam family "Bacterial small subunit ribosomal RNA". RNAcentral also lists the same sequence under 1 other name. Lineage: Bacteria; Bacillati; Bacillota; Bacilli; Lactobacillales; Lactobacillaceae. The record is from RNAcentral.
GAGUGGCGAACUGGUGAGUAACACGUGGGAAACCUGCCCAGAAGCGGGGGAUAACACCUGGAAACAGAUGCUAAUACCGCAUAACAACUUGGACCGCAUGGUCCGAGUUUGAAAGAUGGCUUCGGCUAUCACUUUUGGAUGGUCCCGCGGCGUAUUAGCUAGAUGGUGGGGUAACGGCUCACCAUGGCAAUGAUACGUAGCCGACCUGAGAGGGUAAUCGGCCACAUUGGGACUGAGACACGGCCCAAACUCCUACGGGAGGCAGCAGUAGGGAAUCUUCCACAAUGGACGAAAGUCUGAUGGAGCAACGCCGCGUGAGUGAAGAAGGGUUUCGGCUCGUAAAACUCUGUUGUUAAAGAAGAACAUAUCUGAGAGUAACUGUUCAGGUAUUGACGGUAUUUAACCAGAAAGCCACGGCUAACUACGUGCCAGCAGCCGCGGUAAUACGUAGGUGGCAAGCGUUGUCCGGAUUUAUUGGGCGUAAAGCGAGCGCAGGCGGUUUUUUAAGUCUGAUGUGAAAGCCUUCGGCUCAACCGAAGAAGUGCAUCGGAAACUGGGAAACUUGAGUGCAGAAGAGGACAGUGGAACUCCAUGUGUAGCGGUGAAAUGCGUAGAUAUAUGGAAGAACACCAGUGGCGAAGGCGGCUGUCUGGUCUGUAACUGACGCUGAGGCUCGAAAGUAUGGGUAGCAAACAGGAUUAGAUACCCUGGUAGUCCAUACCGUAAACGAUGAAUGCUAAGUGUUGGAGGGUUUCCGCCCUUCAGUGCUGCAGCUAACGCAUUAAGCAUUCCGCCUGGGGAGUACGGCCGCAAGGCUGAAACUCAAAGGAAUUGACGGGGGCCCGCACAAGCGGUGGAGCAUGUGGUUUAAUUCGAAGCUACGCGAAGAACCUUACCAGGUCUUGACAUACUAUGCAAAUCUAAGAGAUUAGACGUUCCCUUCGGGGACAUGGAUACAGGUGGUGCAUGGUUGUCGUCAGCUCGUGUCGUGAGAUGUUGGGUUAAGUCCCGCAACGAGCGCAACCCUUAUUAUCAGUUGCCAGCAUUAAGUUGGGCACUCUGGUGAGACUGCCGGUGACAAACCGGAGGAAGGUGGGGAUGACGUCAAAUCAUCAUGCCCCUUAUGACCUGGGCUACACACGUGCUACAAUGGAUGGUACAACGAGUUGCGAACUCGCGAGAGUAAGCUAAUCUCUUAAAGCCAUUCUCAGUUCGGAUUGUAGGCUGCAACUCGCCUACAUGAAGUCGGAAUCGCUAGUAAUCGCGGAUCAGCAUGCCGCGGUGAAUACGUUCCCGGGCCUUGUACACACCGCCCGUCACACCAUGAGAGUUUGUAACACCCAAAGUCGGUGGGGUAACCUUUUAGGAACCAGCCGCCUAAGGUGGGACAGAUGAUUAGGG